This 71-nucleotide transfer RNA is filed under the name Loxodonta africana (African savanna elephant). It matches the Rfam family "tRNA". From Rfam's summary of the family: Transfer RNA (tRNA) molecules are approximately 80 nucleotides in length. Their secondary structure includes four short double-helical elements and three loops (D, anti-codon, and T loops). The record is from Rfam by way of RNAcentral. Lineage: Eukaryota; Metazoa; Chordata; Mammalia; Proboscidea; Elephantidae.
GCCAUGGUGGUUCAGUGGUAGAAUACUUAGCUUUCACGUGAGAAACCUGGGUUCAAUUCCCAGCCAACGCG